This 256-nucleotide unclassified non-coding RNA is filed under the name Hevea brasiliensis (rubber tree). Lineage: Eukaryota; Viridiplantae; Streptophyta; Magnoliopsida; Malpighiales; Euphorbiaceae. The record is from RNAcentral.
CAUGUUGAAUGUUGGUGGAAAUAGCAAUUAAGAACCUAUUCAAGCUGGUGGAAUUAACCCCAGUAGAGCUAGCAUUGAUCCCAUUCUUGUCAAUCCUAGAAGAAGAGUUAUGACGAAAGAUGAUGAGGAAAUGGAUUUCGGGUAUGUUGCAUGCCAAGGAUAAUAAAGAGGUGGUUGAAAUUUCCAACAACUCUAUAGGAGUGACGAUGAGUUCAAAUUGAAUAUAAAUAUCUCUACCUUUAGUGGAGAUCUUUUU